GUGCUCGCUUUGGCAGCACGUAUACUAAAAUUUGAAUGAUACAGAGAAGAUUAGCAUGGCCCCUGCACAAGGAUGACACGCAAAAAUAUAGCAGAUAGUAUAUGUGA
This is a small nuclear RNA of Ochotona curzoniae (black-lipped pika), 107 nucleotides long. The record is from RefSeq and is a predicted model, not a curated record. NCBI's taxonomy places the organism in Eukaryota, Metazoa, Chordata, Mammalia, Lagomorpha, Ochotonidae.